CUGGGAAUGUUUACAUCCGACACUCUCGCAAACAUCCUCUCCACAUCAACUCUAUCGGGGCCUUUCAGUAGUCGAUAGGUUUCUGAGGCUUUUAUGGCGGUGAGCAAACAGCUUUAAGGAUGUGAGUAGAACAACACUUCUUUCCCAUCCCAACUACUCUCGAACAGGGUGGAUUACUGAGCCAUUUCACAGUGCGGUUACAGGGAGCAGGAAUUCAG
Hypanus sabinus (Atlantic stingray) is the source of this 218-nucleotide long non-coding RNA. RefSeq lists it as uncharacterized. NCBI's taxonomy places the organism in Eukaryota, Metazoa, Chordata, Chondrichthyes, Myliobatiformes, Dasyatidae. The record is from RefSeq and is a predicted model, not a curated record. The transcript has 3 exons.